GAUGAACGCUGGCGGCGUGCCUAAUACAUGCAAGUCGAGCGAACGGACGAGAAGCUUGCUUCUCUGAUGUUAGCGGCGGACGGGUGAGUAACACGUGGAUAACCUACCUAUAAGACUGGGAUAACUUCGGGAAACCGGAGCUAAUACCGGAUAAUAUUUUGAACCGCAUGGUUCAAAAGUGAAAGACGGUCUUGCUGUCACUUAUAGAUGGAUCCGCGCUGCAUUAGCUAGUUGGUAAGGUAACGGCUUACCAAGGCAACGAUGCAUAGCCGACCUGAGAGGCUGAUCGGCCACACUGGAACUGAGACACGGUCCAGACUCCUACGGGAGGCAGCAGUAGCGAAUCUUCCGCAAUGGGCGAAAGCCUGACGGAGCAACGCCGCGUGAGUGAUGAAGGUCUUCGGAUCGUAAAACUCUGUUAUUAGGGAAGAACAUAUGUGUAAGUAACUGUGCACAUCUUGACGGUACCUAAUCAGAAAGCCACGGCUAACUACGUG
This 497-nucleotide ribosomal RNA is filed under the name uncultured bacterium. RNAcentral's name for it is "partial 16S ribosomal RNA". It matches the Rfam family "Bacterial small subunit ribosomal RNA", at positions 28 to 507 of the family's 1533-position model. The record is from RNAcentral.